GAUGAAAGAACGUAGCGAAAUGCGAUAAGUAGUGUGAAUUGCAGAAUUCAGUGAAUCAUCGAAUCUUUGAACGCACAUUGCGCCCCUUGGUAUUCCAUGGGGCAUGCCUGUUCGAGCGUCAUUUGUACCUUCAAGCUUUGCUUGGUGUUGGGUGUUUGUCCUGAGGGACUCGCCUUAAAGUAAUUGGCAGCCAGUGUUUGGUUUUGAAGCGCAGCACAAGUCGCGAUUCAAGGCUAUACACCAGCUUCCACAAGCCUUUUUCACUUUUGACCUCGGAUCAGGUAGGGAUACCCGCUGAACUUAAGCAUAUCAAUAAGCGGAGGA
Molecule: unclassified non-coding RNA, 324 nt
Filed under: soil metagenome
Description: partial contains 5.8S ribosomal RNA, internal transcribed spacer 2, and large subunit ribosomal RNA
Rfam family: 5.8S ribosomal RNA (bases 6-121)
Source: RNAcentral